AUUGAACGCUGGCGGCAGGCCUAACACAUGCAAGUCGAGCGGAUGAAGGGAGCUUGCCCCUGGAUUCAGCGUCGGACGGGUGAGUAAUGCCUAGGAAUCUGCCUGGUAGUGGGGGAUAACGUCCGGAAACGGGAGCUAAUACCGCAUACGUCCUGCGGGAGAAAGUGGGGGAUCUUCAGACCUCACGCUAUCAGAUGAGCCUAGGUCGGAUUAGCUAGCUGGUGGGGUAAAGGCCUACCAAGGCGACGAUCCGUAACUGGACUGAGUGGAUGAUUAGCCACCCCGGAAUGGAAACGCGGACCGCACUCCUAAGGAAGGCACCAGUGGGGAAUAUUGGACAGUGGGCGGAAGCCUGGUCCAGCCAUGCCGCGUCUGUGAAGAAGAUCUUCAGAUUGUAAAGCACUAUAACUUGGGAAGAAAGGCAGUAAGUUAAUACCAUGCUAUUUUGACGUUACCAGCAGAAUAGGCACCGGCUAACUUCGUG
This 484-nucleotide ribosomal RNA is filed under the name uncultured bacterium. RNAcentral describes it as "partial 16S ribosomal RNA". It matches the Rfam family "Bacterial small subunit ribosomal RNA", at positions 30 to 507 of the family's 1533-position model. The record is from RNAcentral.